Molecule: ribosomal RNA, 380 nt
Filed under: uncultured Leptolyngbya sp.
Lineage: Bacteria; Bacillati; Cyanobacteriota; Cyanophyceae; Leptolyngbyales; Leptolyngbyaceae
Description: bacterial SSU rRNA
Rfam family: Bacterial small subunit ribosomal RNA
Source: RNAcentral
CGCAAUGGGCGCAAGCCUGACGGAGCAAUACCGCGUGAGGGAGGACGGCUUUUGGGUUGUAAACCUCUUUUAUCAGGGAAGAAUUGAUGACGGUACCUGAUGAAUCAGCAUCGGCUAACUCCGUGCCAGCAGCCGCGGUAAUACGGAGGAUGCAAGCGUUAUCCGGAAUUAUUGGGCGUAAAGCGUCCGUAGGUGGCUUAUCAAGUCUGCUGUCAAAGCGUGCGGCUUAACCGCAUACGGGCAGUGGAAACUGGUGAGCUGGAGUGCGAUAGGGGUCACAGGAAUUCCCAGUGUAGCGGUGAAAUGCGUAGAUAUUGGGAAGAACACCAGCGGCGAAAGCGUGUGACUGGGUCUGCACUGACACUGAGGGACGAAAGCUA